This 253-nucleotide ribosomal RNA is filed under the name uncultured bacterium. Its description in RNAcentral is "partial 16S ribosomal RNA". It matches the Rfam family "Bacterial small subunit ribosomal RNA", at positions 524 to 776 of the family's 1533-position model. The record is from RNAcentral.
GACAGAGGGUGCAAACGUUGUUCGGAAUUACUGGGCGUAAAGCGCGUGUAGGCAGCUCGGAAAGUCGGGUGUGAAAGCCCUGGGCUCAACCUAGGAAGUGCACUCGAAACUUCCGAGCUGGAGUGCUGGAGAGGAAGGCGGAAUUCUCGGUGUAGAGGUGAAAUUCGUAGAUAUCGAGAGGAACACCGGUGGCGAAGGCGGCCUUCUGGACAGUGACUGACGCUGAGACGCGAAAGCGUGGGGAGCAAACAGG